CCUACGGGUGGCUGCAGUGAGGAAUAUUGGUCAAUGGGCGCGAGCCUGAACCAGCCAAGUCGCGUGAGGGAGGACGGCCCUACGGGUUGUAAACCUCUUUUGCCGGGGAGCAACGGGCGUCACGUGUGGCGCCACUGAGAGUACCCGGAGAAAAAGCAUCGGCUAACUCCGUGCCAGCAGCCGCGGUAAUACGGAGGAUGCGAGCGUUAUCCGGAUUUAUUGGGUUAAAGGGGUGCGUAGGCGGAUCGUUAAGUCAGGGGUCAAAUUGAGGGGCCCAACCCCUUCCCGCCUUUGAAACUGGCGUUUUUGGGUGGAAGAGAAGUAUGCGGAAUGGGGGGUGUAGCGGUGAAAUGCAUAGAUAUCACGCAGAACCCCGAUUGCGAAGGCAGCAUGCCGGCUUCCGACUGACGCUGAAGAACGAAAGCGUGGGGAUCGAACAGGAUUAGAUACCCGAGUAGU
This 459-nucleotide ribosomal RNA is filed under the name uncultured bacterium. Its description in RNAcentral is "partial 16S ribosomal RNA". It matches the Rfam family "Bacterial small subunit ribosomal RNA", at positions 338 to 794 of the family's 1533-position model. The record is from RNAcentral.